GACGAACGCUGGCGGCGUGCUUAACACAUGCAAGUCGAGCGGAAAGGCCCUUCGGGGUACGUCGAGCGGCGAACGGGUGAGUAACACGUGAGUAAUCUGCCUCUAGCUCUGGGAUAGCUCCGGGAAACCGGGAUUAAUACCGGAUACGACCACUCAAGACAUCUUCUGUGGUGGAAAGAAUUUCGGCUAGAGAUGAGCUCGCGGCCUAUCAGCUUGUUGGUGGGGUAACGGCCACCAAGGCGACGACGGGUAGCCGGCCUGAGAGGGCGACCGGCCACACUGGGACGUGAGACACGGCCCACGACUCCUACGGGAGGCGAGCAGUGGGGAAUAUUGCGCAAUGGGCGAAAGCCUGACGCAGCGACGCCGCGUGGGGAGUGAAGGCC
RNAcentral lists this ribosomal RNA (386 nucleotides) under uncultured bacterium. Its description in RNAcentral is "bacterial SSU rRNA". It matches the Rfam family "Bacterial small subunit ribosomal RNA", at positions 28 to 416 of the family's 1533-position model. The record is from RNAcentral.